RNAcentral lists this ribosomal RNA (253 nucleotides) under uncultured bacterium. Its description in RNAcentral is "partial 16S ribosomal RNA". It matches the Rfam family "Bacterial small subunit ribosomal RNA", at positions 524 to 776 of the family's 1533-position model. The record is from RNAcentral.
UACGUAGGGUGCGAGCGUUAAUCGGAAUUACUGGGCGUAAAGCGUGCGCAGGCGGUUUUGUAAGCCAGAUGUGAAAUCCCCGGGCUUAACCUGGGAAUGGCAUUUGGGACUGCAGGGCUUGAGUUUGGCAGAGGAGACUGGAAUUCCUGGUGUAGCAGUGAAAUGCGUAGAUAUGUGGAGGAAUACCGAUGGCGAAGGCAGCCCCCUGGGAUAACACUGACGCUCAUGCACGAAAGCGUGGGGAGCAAACAGG